Molecule: unclassified non-coding RNA, 348 nt
Filed under: Hevea brasiliensis (rubber tree)
Lineage: Eukaryota; Viridiplantae; Streptophyta; Magnoliopsida; Malpighiales; Euphorbiaceae
Source: RNAcentral
GGAUUGAAUAACAAUGAUGCUGAUGAUACCGCAUGCACAAAUAGAUCUAACUGGGAUCUGAAUACUCCCAUGGAUUCAUGGGAUUCUGGUGAAGAUUUUCCUGUUCAAGAUGCAAGUCAAGUUGAUCUGUUACGUAAGACAUCUAGUUUACCAGACAUAAAGCUGCCUAUUAGUUCUGCUUCUGUUACGGGUUCUAAUGGUGAUAAAGGGAAGCAAGUUGUUGGAUCUAGUGAGCAGGAAUUUAAUAUUCCCUUCUCAAUACAUCCUAGCCUACCAUACAAGCCUGUGGAUGGGCUUCAUCUUAGUCUUGGUAGUACUUUACUGCGAGGGUUUGACUCCUCUGUACUU